GUUCGCCCCGCCCGUCGCGCGCUCUCCCCGUUCUCCAAGUCCUCAGCGCCAGGACCCCGCGCUCCGCGGACGGCGGUCCUGACGGAAUCAGGAGGAACCGGGAGGUCUGGGCGACAGCGGCAGGGGCCUGAGCCACGAAGUCCGGGGGGAGCCUGUUCUCGUCCCGCCCAAGACCUCGCGCCUCCCGCGCCCGUCCGGGAAGCCCAGCGCUCGCCCAUGGCUCGGCUCCGGGACCUCAGGUCGGCUCCCUCGGGCCACAGGCGACGGUGCAACCGUCCUCCCUGUCUGCCCCUGCCACUCUGAGGCGGCCCCAGGGGUCCCGCGCCCCUCGUUCCCCGGGUCACCCAGGUCUCCGUGGGCUGGGCCCCAUCCCCACGCGCGGAAGCCGUGGGCCAACGCGUUUCCCCCUCACAGGGGACCUGCGCGGAAGCCGUCGGAGCCGCUGGAGCGCGACCUGGGCGGAGGCGGCAGGCCGGGUUGAGACGGGGGCGUGGCCUCUGGGGUGUGCUUCUGCUUAGGGUUCAUUUACCCUCUUCACCACGCUGAGACAGAGCCUUUCUGCUGACUGAAAUGGUGUUUGUUGACGAUGCCAUCGCAAACUCGUUUAGAGAGAAGCCCGCGCUUAAUUUGGACAGCACACCGAACCAGAAGAGAGUGCAGCUGGAUUCACAACCCCAGAGUGGGAAUGAGGGCAAGUUAAUGAAGCCCGCAGCCGAGAGCAAGAGGAACCAAAAUGAAGAAAAAUGAACAGUUUCUGGGACUUAUGAAAUGCCAUCAGACAACAUGCCUCACAGGGUCCCAGGAAAAGAAGGUGAAGAGGUAUAAGGUACGUAUAAGGAAAUAUGGUUGACUGCUUCCCAAAUUUGAUGAAAAAAAUUUAUCUACACAUCCAAGAUGCUCAGUAAACACCUAGACAUAUCAUAGUCAAACUGAAACAAAACACAAAGAGAAACUCUUGAAACUGGGGGACACACACACACACUGAGAGGCUGACUUAUGGACAAGUCACCCACAAUAAAGUUAAGCUAACUUUUCAUCAAAACCAGUGGAGUCGGGCUGGGGAUUUAGCUCAGUGGUUCUGGCACCUCCCUCACAAGCACAAGUUCCCAAGUUCGAUCCCCAGUACCGGAAAAAACAAAACAAAACAAAAACCAGUGGAGUCCAGGAGACAAUAGGAUGACAUACUAUAAAUGCUGAAAGAAAAAAUAAUCAGCCAAGCAUCCUAUAUCUAGAAAUCUAGCUUUCAAAAAUGAAGAUGAAGUAGUCUCAGAAAAGACUGGUAGAAUUUGUUAUUUGCAGCUUUGCCCUAAAAGAUAUAGCAAAGUUCUUUAGCUGAAAGGAAGCUGUGCCAGGUAAUGAUUCUAAUCCCCAUGAAAAAAUGCAAAGCCCUAUGGAGGUAACACUUAGGCCAUUAUAGAAGAGGGCAGG
This 1428-nucleotide long non-coding RNA is filed under the name Heterocephalus glaber (naked mole-rat). RNAcentral's name for it is "lncRNA (ENSHGLG00100033735.1)". Lineage: Eukaryota; Metazoa; Chordata; Mammalia; Rodentia; Bathyergidae. The record is from RNAcentral.